UACGUAGGGGGCGAGCGUUGUCCGAAGUUACUGGGCGUAAAGCGCGUGUAGGCGGCUUCUUAAGUGGCCGGUGAAAUCCCCGGGCUCAACUCGGGAGUGUCUGGUCAUACUGGGAGGCUGGAGUACGGGAGAGGAGAGUGGAACUCCUGGUGUAGCGGUGAUAUGCGUAGAUAUCAGGAAGAACACCCGUGGCGAAGGCGGCUCUCUGGACCGUAACUGACGCUGAGACGCGAAAGCCAGGGGAG
This 245-nucleotide ribosomal RNA is filed under the name uncultured bacterium. RNAcentral's name for it is "partial 16S ribosomal RNA". It matches the Rfam family "Bacterial small subunit ribosomal RNA", at positions 524 to 768 of the family's 1533-position model. The record is from RNAcentral.